UGGGUAACCUGCCUCAAAGAGGGGAAUAGCCUCCCGAAAGGGAGAUUAAUACCGCAUAAUAUGUUUAAGUCGCAUGACUUUAACAUCAAAGGAUUUUCUUUUAGAAAUUCCACUUUGAGAUGGACCCGCGGCGCAUUAGCUAGUUGGUGAGGUAACGGCUCACCAAGGCAACGAUGCGUAGCCGACCUGAGAGGGCAUCGGCCACACUGGGACUGAGACACGGUCCAGACUCCUAGGAG
RNAcentral lists this ribosomal RNA (239 nucleotides) under uncultured bacterium. Its description in RNAcentral is "partial 16S ribosomal RNA". It matches the Rfam family "Bacterial small subunit ribosomal RNA", at positions 118 to 347 of the family's 1533-position model. The record is from RNAcentral.